UACAGAGGCUACGAGCGUUAGGCGGAAUCACUGGGCUUAAAGCGUGUGUAGGUGGAUCGGUAAGUACCUUGUAAAAUCCCACAGCUCAACUGUGGAACUGCUUGGUAUACUGCCAGUCUUGAGGCACUCAGGGGCGAGCGGAACAAGUGGUGGAGCGGUGAAAUGCGUAGAUAUCACUUGGAACGCCAAUGGUGAAGACAGCUCGCUGGGGGUGUACUGACACUGAGACACGAAAGCCAGGGGAGCGAACGGG
Molecule: ribosomal RNA, 253 nt
Filed under: uncultured bacterium
Lineage: Bacteria
Description: partial 16S ribosomal RNA
Rfam family: Bacterial small subunit ribosomal RNA
Source: RNAcentral